ACGUAGGUGGCAAGCGUUGUCCGGAAUUAUUGGGCGUAAAGGGCUCGCAGGCGGUUUCUUAAGUCUGAUGUGAAAGCCCCCGGCUCAACCGGGGAGGGUCAUUGGAAACUGGGGAACUUGAGUGCAGAAGAGGAGAGUGGAAUUCCACGUGUAGCGGUGAAAUGCGUAGAGAUGUGGAGGAACACCAGUGGCGAAGGCGACUCUCUGGUCUGUAACUGACGCUGAGGAGCGAAAGCGUGGGGAGCGAACAG
This 251-nucleotide ribosomal RNA is filed under the name uncultured prokaryote. RNAcentral describes it as "partial 16S rRNA". It matches the Rfam family "Bacterial small subunit ribosomal RNA", at positions 525 to 775 of the family's 1533-position model. The record is from RNAcentral.